UGCUCUACGUACAUUCCGCAGAAUUUAGCCUAAAUUCAAAAAUGUAUGAAGGGUAUCGCUAUUUGACGUCUAUAAUCAUAUUUAACGUGUACGAGAAAACAUUAAACUACAUAGUCUGCAUUUAUUAUAAUAUAUAAAACUAAAAAGACGGCGAAACUGUCACAACGGUUGCUUCUACAGUAGUUCUAGUGUGGAUAUUACCAAGACAGGUUUUCAUAUCAAGCGAUGAAAAGUCUUAUUCUAAUCACUCUCGUGUGCCUCGUCUCGGCCAUGGCGUUCAACUAUGGAAAUGGAAAUGGAAAUGGAAAUAUAUUUAACAAUUGCAUCAGAGCUGGAGGUUUGUGUGGCGGAAUAGGCGGUGGAAUAGGCGGCGGAACAGGAGGUGGAAUAGGGGGCGGAAUAGGCGGUGGAAUGGGUAGGUUCUGCUGUUCCGACACCAGGUGCAAACUGUCCUCUCGUGGAGUGUUGACUUGCCAGUACAGGUGGAGAUAAAACAUUUCGCUUGCACACAAUAAACCAAGUUACCCAAUUCACUG
Gigantopelta aegis is the source of this 536-nucleotide long non-coding RNA. RefSeq lists it as uncharacterized. NCBI's taxonomy places the organism in Eukaryota, Metazoa, Mollusca, Gastropoda, Neomphalida, Peltospiridae. The transcript has 3 exons. The record is from RefSeq and is a predicted model, not a curated record.